This 497-nucleotide ribosomal RNA is filed under the name uncultured bacterium. RNAcentral's name for it is "partial 16S ribosomal RNA". It matches the Rfam family "Bacterial small subunit ribosomal RNA", at positions 28 to 507 of the family's 1533-position model. The record is from RNAcentral.
GAUGAACGCUGGCGGCGUGCCUAAUACAUGCAAGUCGAGCGAACGGACGAGAAGCUUGCCUCUCUGAUGUUAGCGGCGGACGGGUGAGUAACACGUGGAUAACCUACCUAUAAGACUUGGAUAACUUCGUGAAACCGGAGCUAAUACCGGAUAAUAUUUUGAACCGCAUGGUUCAAAAGUUAAAGACGGUCUUGCUGUCACUUAUAGAUGGAUCCGCGCUGCAUUAGCUAGUUGGUAAGGUAACGGCUUACCAAGGCAACGAUGCAUAGCCGACCUGAGAGGGUGAUCGGCCACACUGGAACUGAGACACGGUCCAGACUCCUACGGGAGGCAGCAGUAGGGAAUCUUCCGCAAUGGGCGAAAGCCUGACGGAGCAACGCCGCGUGAGUGAUGAAGGUCUUCGGAUCGUAAAACUCUGUUAUUAGGGAAGAACAUAUGUGUAAGUAACUGUGCACAUCUUGACGGUACCUAAUCAGAAAGCCACGGCUAACUACGUG